This 200-nucleotide ribosomal RNA is filed under the name uncultured bacterium. RNAcentral's name for it is "partial 16S ribosomal RNA". It matches the Rfam family "Bacterial small subunit ribosomal RNA", at positions 29 to 258 of the family's 1533-position model. The record is from RNAcentral.
AACGAACGCUGGCGGCAGGCUUAACACAUGCAAGUCGAACGCCCCGCAAGGGGAGUGGCAGACGGGUGAGUAACGCGUGGGAAUCUACCGUGCCCUGCGGAAUAGCUCCGGGAAACUGGAAUUAAUACCGCAUACGCCCUACGGGGGAAAGAUUUAUCGGGGUAUGAUGAGCCCGCGUUGGAUUAGCUAGUUGGUGGGGU